Molecule: microRNA precursor, 60 nt
Filed under: Cavia porcellus (domestic guinea pig)
Lineage: Eukaryota; Metazoa; Chordata; Mammalia; Rodentia; Caviidae
Description: microRNA cpo-mir-12076 precursor
Source: miRBase by way of RNAcentral
CCUGGCCCGGCAGUGUUUGGCUCUGUCUGUGUGAACCUCAAGCUCUGCCUGACCAGAGGG